This 482-nucleotide ribosomal RNA is filed under the name uncultured bacterium. RNAcentral describes it as "bacterial SSU rRNA". It matches the Rfam family "Bacterial small subunit ribosomal RNA", at positions 30 to 506 of the family's 1533-position model. The record is from RNAcentral.
UUGAACGCUGGCGGCAUGCUUUACACAUGCAAGUCGAACGGUAACAGGGAGCUUGCUCCGCUGACGAGUGGCGAACGGGUGAGUAAUGCAUCGGAACGUACCCAGUCGUGGGGGAUAACGUAGCGAAAGUUACGCUAAUACCGCAUACGUCCUGAGGGAGAAAGCGGGGGACCGUAAGGCCUCGCGCGAUUGGAGCGGCCGAUGUCGGAUUAGCUAGUUGGUGGGGUAAAGGCCUACCAAGGCGACGAUCCGUAGCGGGUCUGAGAGGAUGAUCCGCCACACUGGGACUGAGACACGGCCCAGACUCCUACGGGAGGCAGCAGUGGGGAAUUUUGGACAAUGGGGGCAACCCUGAUCCAGCCAUGCCGCGUGAGUGAAGAAGGCCUUCGGGUUGUAAAGCUCUUUCAGCCGGAAAGAAAUCGUCAAGGCUAAUAUCCUUGAUGGAUGACGGUACCGGAAGAAGAAGCACCGGCUAACUACGU